UACGAAGGGAGCUAGCGUUGUUCGGAAUCACUGGGCGUAAAGCGCACGUAGGCGGAUUUGCCAGUCAGGGGUGAAAUCCCGGGGCUCAACCUCGGAACUGCCUUUGAUACAGCAAGUCUUGAGUUCGAGAGAGGUGGGUGGAACUCCUAGUGUAGAGGUGAAAUUCGUAGAUAUUAGGAAGAACACCGGUGGCGAAGGCGGCCCGCUGGCUCGACACUGACGCUGAGGUGCGAAAGCGUGGGGAGCAAACAGG
Molecule: ribosomal RNA, 253 nt
Filed under: uncultured bacterium
Lineage: Bacteria
Description: partial 16S ribosomal RNA
Rfam family: Bacterial small subunit ribosomal RNA
Source: RNAcentral